ACAGUGGGCGGGGUGACCGCUGGCAGCGGCGGUCGCGGUGGCUGGUCCAUCUGCGAUCUUUCGUUGCUGGAGGAAAGUCCGGGCUCCUUAGGGCGGGAUGGUCGAUAACGUCGACCGGCCGUGAGGUUAGGGAAAGUGCAGCAGAGAGUAGACCGCCGAACGGUUCGCUGCCAGUUGCUCGCUUGAGCGGUGGUAGCAGAUGCGUGGUAAGGGUGAAACGGUGCGGUAAGAGCGCACCAGCGGCCGGGGUGACUCGGCCGGCUUGGUAAACCCCAUCCGGAGCUAGACCAAACAGGGUGCAUGAGGCGGCCCGCCUCGCUAUCGACACCCGGGUAGGUCGCAAUUGAGGCGGCGAGCAAUCGUCGUGCACAGAUAAAUGGUCACUGGCAGCCGAUGGCUGUUACAAAACCCGGCUUACAAGCCCACUGUCUCA
Molecule: RNase P RNA, 433 nt
Filed under: Allorhodopirellula heiligendammensis
Lineage: Bacteria; Pseudomonadati; Planctomycetota; Planctomycetia; Pirellulales; Pirellulaceae
Description: Rhodopirellula heiligendammensis RNaseP_bact_a
Rfam family: Bacterial RNase P class A
About the family: Ribonuclease P (RNase P) is a ubiquitous endoribonuclease, found in archaea, bacteria and eukarya as well as chloroplasts and mitochondria. Its best characterised activity is the generation of mature 5'-ends of tRNAs by cleaving the 5'-leader elements of precursor-tRNAs.
Source: RNAcentral